This 76-nucleotide transfer RNA is filed under the name Mesorhizobium sp. M7A.T.Ca.TU.009.01.3.1. RNAcentral's name for it is "tRNA-Lys". It matches the Rfam family "tRNA". Rfam says of the family: Transfer RNA (tRNA) molecules are approximately 80 nucleotides in length. Their secondary structure includes four short double-helical elements and three loops (D, anti-codon, and T loops). Lineage: Bacteria; Pseudomonadati; Pseudomonadota; Alphaproteobacteria; Hyphomicrobiales; Phyllobacteriaceae. The record is from RNAcentral.
GGGUGCGUAGCUCAGUUGGCAGAGCAGCUGACUCUUAAUCAGCGGGUCCACAGUUCAAUCCUGUGCGCACCCACCA